Molecule: ribosomal RNA, 463 nt
Filed under: uncultured bacterium
Lineage: Bacteria
Description: partial 16S ribosomal RNA
Rfam family: Bacterial small subunit ribosomal RNA
Source: RNAcentral
GAUGAACGCUGGCAGAAUGCUUAACACAUGCAAGUCUUUGGCGAAUCUGUGCUUGCACAGGCUAGCCAAGGCGGACGGGUGAGUAACGCGUAAAGAACUUGCCCUGCAGACAGGGAUAACAGACGGAAACGACUGAUAACACCUGAUACAGUUGCCGGCACGCAUGUGCCUGGCAAUGAAAAGAGAUGCUGCAGGAGAGCUUUGCGUCCUAUUAGCUUGUUGGUGAGGUGACGGCUCACCAAGGCGAUGAUAGGUAGCCGGCCUGAGAGGGUGAACGGCCACAAGGGGACUGAGAUACGGCCCUUACUCCUACGGGAGGCAGCAGUGGGGAAUAUUGGACAAUGGGGGCAACCCUAAUCCAGCAAUUCUGUGUGCACGAAGAAGGUUUUCGGAUUGUAAAGUGCUUUCAGCAGGGAAGAAGAAAGUGACGGUACCUGCAGAAGAAGCGACGGCUAAAUACGUG